GGGGCUGUGGUUUGGCCUCUGGCCCGCGGCCCCUUGUCUUCUUUGGCUCUUUGGAGUUGAGCAAGGCGUGCAUUUUCUUGGUGGCUUGGCCUUGCUCCCCGCCAGAGCGGAUAUGGCCCUGACCUGCCUAGCUUGAAAACGCCUUAUUUUCUCUUAGUGUAAAGGAAAUGGAAGGGAACCUUCUCCGUCCUAAGCCUUCUGGGUCAGGGACUUCUGGCCCACUCAAGCGCCUGACUCCCGACCUUCCCAAUACAGGAGUUUAGCCCUUUUGCCCAAGACCUGAGGAUAGGUGCGAGAGAUCGUGGAGAAAAACGGUAGUCACAGAGGCUCCUCCCGAAAAACGGUAGUCACAGAGGCUCCUCCCCUUUUCCUUCUGCUGGGUAUCCAAGUUAGGCAUCCUCAGCUCAAGAAUACCAGGAGUACUAUGGACUGUAAGGUUAUUUAUACUGCCUUAGAUGAGGAAGUAUGAGCUAUGUAAAAGAGCUGACCCAGAACAGCGCCCUCACCUGGAAUGGAGAAUACAGCGUCCAGUUGCAGAGAUGAGUUGGCUCACCUUCAGCCCCUAAAUCCUCACACGGAAGAAUCCAGCAAAGAGAAAGACAUGGUCCUGCCUGUUGUUGAUUGUUGCCUUGGUCUCAUUUGGGGUCAUGGCUCUUCAGCCUUGAAAGUAGGGGCCUGAUCAAAUGUUAAAAUGAGAGACAGGAGCCAUGAAAAUUUCCAGCAGAGCAGGAAAACCAGCCGCCUUACCAGGGGCUGCAAAGUAAUAAAGUCAGGGAGGAAAACCUCUUCAAAAUUUCCAGGGAAGGACUGACUAUUCUUAUUUUAGCUCGGAAUACUUCAUAUUGUAUAUCUUGUAUUUGUAUGAGGGGGAAAUUGCUGAAAAUGUUGAAAGAGUCAUUAAAGGAUUUGUCCUGAGUCACACAAGCAAGAUAGGAACAGGGCUGGGAACGGAUCCCAGUCUCAGAAUACAGUCACUUUAGCUACCUCUUCACAGCACCUCAGGUUCUGAAAUAUCCACUCAAGCCAUGAAAGAAAAGAAAUAUGGGGAGGAACAGAUGUCUUAUUUGUUCUUUGCUCCAGUCCCAGCUAGACCUCACCACUGCUGUUGUGAAGAUGACAUGCUAUGCUGGGUUCAUGAAAAUCAUAGGCCUAGACAAAACAGAAAACUGUGGUUUUGAGGAGCCCCUGACCUGGAGGUGCAGGGUAGCCUGUGGUUUGUGGCAAAGCCUGAGGCUUGAAGGAUCAUCAUAUAGGGCAGUAGAGCCAUCACAGGAUUGACAUUUAUUAUUAUUCCAAAAGACCAAGUUAUAUUUCUUGGUAGUUCUGUCAGCAAAAAGUGACCUUUCAGAAGGGUUGUCUUGGGGAGAAGGUAUAGCUCAGUGGUAGAGCCAUGCUUAGCAUGCAUGAGGUCCUGGGUUCAAUCCCCAGUACCUCCACUUAAUAAAUAAAUAAACCUAAUUACCCCCAAACAAAAAAAAAAAUCCAAACAAACAAAAAGUUAAAAAAAAAGGGGUUAUCCCAAUAUUCAAAUAUAUAAAUACAGGUCAACAGGUGGAUUAAAACAGAGUUUUAAACAACAACUGUAAAAUGUUUUAGUAAGUAUCCACAACGGUUUGCUCUGUGAGAAUGUCCUAGGCUCAAGUCUUAGCCCAAAGCACCUGGGGUGUAUGGCCACUCUUUUGGCUAAAGAGAUGCAAUACUUCCAAAUGAGUGUGGUGCUAUUUGGUGAAGCUCAUGUGCUUAAAAGCAAAAGUGAGACUCAAAGAAGCCCUGAGGUCACAUGAAGACUAUGGAGAUUGGUUAGGUAUGUUAGAAAAGUUUAAAUGUCUUUUAUGGGGAUCACUUCUGUGGGGUGCAACUUCUGGUUAAUGGAAUAUAGCCAGGUUAUUUCUGUACCAGCCAGGGAAUAUGAGAGCUUCUUGGCUUAAACUCUUAUAAUGUAAUAUGGCAGGAUUAAUGAGAGCAAAACCGUGUAAAUGAUAUUUAUUCUAAGGGAGGGAGCCUGUCCUUCUGAUCUAGUGAGGAGAGAAAAUGAAUGACCUGGGAAGACCCGGAGACUCCUCUCCCCCUCUCUCCUCUCCAGGAGAACAGAUGGGUAAGGAAUUGGGCAUUUUCUCACAGGUUCUUACCUAAAAGGGAGGAGAAAGCUGCCCUUAAAUUAUGUGCAAGGGUCUAAUAGCCUGUGCAAAGCCAUCUCUGGUAAAAGGCCACAGCUUUGUCACCAUGUCAGUCACAAGCCAGUGUUGUGGAGGUAAGCUCCAAGUGACAGCUGUCUGAGACUACGAGAAAAGCUGAGGGGCAGAGCUCUCUCCCAAUUCCAGUGUAGGACUGAGACGGAAACAGGACACUGCAUUGGGGUGCUUGGAACAGCAGGGAGAAUCAAAGGAGUGAUUUCAGACUUUUUCCUUCAUCUCUGAACUGUUGGGUGAAUUAACUGUGAGGCUAUAAAGUGAUCUGAUUGCUUCAGAGAUGGCAUGAGCAGUAUUGUUGUUAAUCCCUAAUUUUAAUUCUUUAAACUGUUCUCCAAAAAUAAAAUUGUUUCGGAAAGCUUUA
Long non-coding RNA from Camelus dromedarius (Arabian camel), 2553 nucleotides. RefSeq lists it as uncharacterized. The transcript has 2 exons. NCBI's taxonomy places the organism in Eukaryota, Metazoa, Chordata, Mammalia, Artiodactyla, Camelidae. The record is from RefSeq and is a predicted model, not a curated record.